GUGAGGAAUAUUGGGCAAUGGGCGAAAGCCUGACCCAGCCACGCCGCGUGAGUGAUGAAGGCCUUCGGGUUGUAAAGCUCUGUGGGGAGGGAAGAAAAAGCGGGAGAGUAACUGCUCUCGUGUUGACGGUACCUCCUUAGCAAGCACCGGCUAACUCUGUGCCAGCAGCCGCGGUAAUACAGAGGGUGCAAACGUUGCUCGGAAUUACUGGGCGUAAAGCGCGUGUAGGCUGACAUGCAAGUCGGGUGUGAAAUCCCAGGGCUCAACCUUGGAACUGCACUCGAAACUGCACGUCUUGAGUACUGGAGAGAGAAGCGGAAUUCCGGGUGUAGAGGUGAAAUUCGUAGAUAUCCGGAGGAACACCAGUGGCGAAGGCGGCUUCCUGGACAGUAACUGACGCUGAGACGCGAAAGCGUGGGGAGCAAACAGGAUUAGAAACCCGUGUAGUCC
This 450-nucleotide ribosomal RNA is filed under the name uncultured bacterium. RNAcentral's name for it is "partial 16S ribosomal RNA". It matches the Rfam family "Bacterial small subunit ribosomal RNA", at positions 354 to 796 of the family's 1533-position model. The record is from RNAcentral.